AGAGUUUGAUCCUGGCUCAGGACGAACGCUGACGGUGUGCUUUAGACAUGCAAGUCGAACGCGAAAGCCCUUCGGGGCGAGUAGAGUGGCGAACGGGUGAGUAACACGUGGGUAACCUGCCCCUCGCAGGGGGAUAACCGGGGGAAACCCCGGCUAAUACCCCGUAUGCUUGUGGAGCCGCAUGGCUCCGCAAAGAAAGGUAGCUUCGGCCAUCCGGCGAGGGAUGGGCCCGCGGUGCAUUAGCUAGUUGGUGGGGUAACGGCCUACCAAGGCGACGAUGCAUAGCUGGUCUGAGAGGACGAUCAGCCACACUGGGACUGAGACACGGCCCAGACUCCUACGGGAGGCAGCAGUCGGGAAUCUUGCGCAAUGGGCGAAAGCCCGACGCAGCAACACCGUGUGAGCGACGAAGGCCUUCGGGUCGUAAAGCUCUGUUGUUGGGGACGAAGGGUUAGGGGUUAAUAGCCCCGAGCCUGACGGUACCCUUCGAGGAAGCCCCGGCUAACUACGUGCCAGCAGCCGCGGUAAUACGUAGGGGGCGAGCGUUGUCCGGAAUUACUGGGCGUAAAGCGCGUGUAGGCGGCUCGUUAAGUCGGGGGUGAAAGCCCGGAGCUCAACUCCGGAUCGCCCCCCGAGACUGGCAAGCUUGAGGCCGGAAGGGGGGCGUGGAAUUCCUGGUGUAGCGGUGAAAUGCGUAGAGAUCAGGAGGAACACCCGUGGCGAAGGCGGCGCCCUGGUCCGGAACUGACGCUGAGACGCGAAAGCGUGGGGAGCGAACGGGAUUAGAUACCCCCGUAGUCC
Molecule: ribosomal RNA, 801 nt
Filed under: uncultured Rubrobacter sp.
Lineage: Bacteria; Bacillati; Actinomycetota; Rubrobacteria; Rubrobacterales; Rubrobacteraceae
Description: bacterial SSU rRNA
Rfam family: Bacterial small subunit ribosomal RNA
Source: RNAcentral